This 795-nucleotide ribosomal RNA is filed under the name Microbacterium sp. Its description in RNAcentral is "bacterial SSU rRNA". It matches the Rfam family "Bacterial small subunit ribosomal RNA", at positions 68 to 873 of the family's 1533-position model. Lineage: Bacteria; Bacillati; Actinomycetota; Actinomycetes; Micrococcales; Microbacteriaceae. The record is from RNAcentral.
GGUGAAGCCCAGCUUGCUGGGUGGAUCAGUGGCGAACGGGUGAGUAACACGUGAGCAACGUGCCCCAGACUCUGGGAUAACAGUUGGAAACAGCUGCUAAUACCGGAUACGAGACGUGAUCGCAUGGUCAACGUCUGGAAAGAUUUUUCGGUUUGGGAUCGGCUCGCGGCCUAUCAGCUUGUUGGUGAGGUAAUGGCUCACCAAGGCGUCGACGGGUAGCCGGCCUGAGAGGGUGACCGGCCACACUGGGACUGAGACACGGCCCAGACUCCUACGGGAGGCAGCAGUGGGGAAUAUUGCACAAUGGGCGAAAGCCUGAUGCAGCAACGCCGCGUGAGGGAUGACGGCCUUCGGGUUGUAAACCUCUUUUAGCAGGGAAGAAGCGAAAGUGACGGUACCUGCAGAAAAAGCGCCGGCUAACUACGUGCCAGCAGCCGCGGUAAUACGUAGGGCGCAAGCGUUAUCCGGAAUUAUUGGGCGUAAAGAGCUCGUAGGCGGUUUGUCGCGUCUGCUGUGAAAUCCCGAGGCUCAACCUCGGGCCUGCAGUGGGUACGGGCAGACUAGAGUGCGGUAGGGGAGAUUGGAACUCCUGGUGUAGCGGUGGAAUGCGCAGAUAUCAGGAAGAACACCGAUGGCGAAGGCAGAUCUCUGGGCCGUAACUGACGCUGAGGAGCGAAAGGGUGGGGAGCAAACAGGCUUAGAUACCCUGGUAGUCCACCCCGUAAACGUUGGGAACUAGUUGUGGGGACCAUUCCACGGUUUCCGUGACGCAGCUAACGCAUUAAGUUCCCCGCC